GCUGCGUUAGCUCAGUGGUAGAGCGCUACCUUGGUAAGGUAGAGGUCCCGGGUUCAAAUCCCGGACGUAGCU
RNAcentral lists this transfer RNA (72 nucleotides) under Nanobdellota archaeon. Its description in RNAcentral is "tRNA-Thr". It matches the Rfam family "tRNA". From Rfam's summary of the family: Transfer RNA (tRNA) molecules are approximately 80 nucleotides in length. The record is from RNAcentral. Lineage: Archaea; Nanobdellati; Nanobdellota. RNAcentral also lists the same sequence under 1 other name.